AGCAGCCGCGGUAAUUCCAGCUCCAAUAGCGUAUAUUAAAGUUGUUGCAGUUAAAAAGCUCGUAGUUGAAUUUCGGGAUCAAGGGAUCGGUCAUGCCUUGGUAUGUACUGAUUUCAUUGGUUCUCACCUUCUAAAGAACCAUGAUGUCAUUCAUUUGAUGUUAUGGGGAAUUAGGACUGUUACCUUAGAAAAAUUAGAGUGUUUAAGGCAGGCUCACGCUUGAAUACAUUAGCAUGGAAUAACGGAAUAGGACGUUUGAUUCUAUUUUGUUGGUUUCUAGGAUCGACGUAAUGAUUAAUAGGGAUAGUUGGGGGCAUUAGUAUUCAAUUGUCAGAGGUGAAAUUCUUGGAUUUAUUGAAGACUAACUACUGCGAAAGCAUUUGCCAAGGAUGUUUUCAUUAAUCAAGAACGAAAGUUAGGGGAUCGAAGACGGUCAGAUACCGUCGUAGUCUUAACCAAUAAACUAUGCCGACUAGGGAUCGGAUGAUGUUAAUUUUUUAAUGUACUCA
Molecule: ribosomal RNA, 509 nt
Filed under: uncultured Glomeraceae
Lineage: Eukaryota; Fungi; Glomeromycota; Glomeromycetes; Glomerales; Glomeraceae
Description: SSU rRNA
Rfam family: Eukaryotic small subunit ribosomal RNA
Source: RNAcentral